Clupea harengus (Atlantic herring) is the source of this 2300-nucleotide long non-coding RNA. The record is from Ensembl. Lineage: Eukaryota; Metazoa; Chordata; Actinopteri; Clupeiformes; Clupeidae.
GAGAUUAUGAGAAAGGAGGCGAAGGAUUUAAUCUCUUUUGCAUACACACACACACACACACACACACACACACACACCGGCGCACAGCAGCCCUGCUGAGCUAACACCCGGCACCCGGGCCAGCUGCACCAAACCUGCCUCCACAGCAUCAUGACUGUGUGCUGUAAGUCACCAUCCCUCCGGCCCUGCCUGUGCUCACGCUGACCUUCUGAACUUAGGACCAUGUCCAAGCACAAGGAGGGUGGGGUUUAUUUUUUGUGUCAGUUUUAAAAUGUAUUUUAUUUUAUUCAGUUUCAUCUUUUUUUUUUUAGGAGGGGGUGUAAUUGCCCCCGAGCCCUGACAUGGCCUCAUGGUCAUCGGCGGUCGUAGGUGGGGUGGUUGUAGCCGUCACUCCUGCUUAAGCCCCGCUGCUGUGUGUAAUUGUCACCUCGGCCAUUGCGGCUUGGACCAGCGCGCACGGGCACUUGCCCUCCGACUUGGAGGGCAGCCACGGUGGUCAGCCUUCGCUUCUCUUUUUUUUUCUCUUUUUCUUUUUUUUUUUCUUUUUUUUCCCUCUCUGUCUCUCGGUCCUAGCUCCCUGACUGGUGCGGCACCCUCACAGUCACCGGCCCUCCGGUCUAAUCGCCAGUGAGUGGGAGCCGAUUCUAUUUCAGGAAUUCUGCAAUAAUUCCUUCUAUUUAACACAUGAAUGUGUUCAGCAUUGGCAGAGGUGCACGUUGCUACCAAAACUGAAACGGGAUCCCCUGCAACAGAGAGACCGUUGCCAUGGAAAAAUGAAGUAACGCCGGUCCCUGCAGCUGCCAUGCAUUAAUGAAUAGGACUUUUUUCUGUGUGUGUGUGUGUGAUAGAGAGAGAGGGAGAAAGAGAGAGAGAGGGAGAGAGAUCAUUUGUGCUUGGUGUGGCUCAGAGGGAGCUAGCCAGAUGGUUUCCAUGAACAGGAUUUGACCCCCAGGCUGGAGAGCCAUAGUACAGGCCCAUUACUUCAUCUUCCAACCCCCAGUCCCCUCUCUCUCUCACUCCCUCUCUUCCUAGCUAUCUCUCACAUACUCUCUUUCUUUUAAUCUCUCAUUCUUUCUUUUACUCUUAUCUCUCUCUCCGUUCUAUUUUUUUCGUUCAUCUGUGAGACUCUCAAAUCUGUCAUGAUUGGCAAAUCCAGCAACAACUUUCAUUUUGACCAUGAUCGCAUCAAUCAAAAUGCACUCCUGGCAAACUACAACAAAAGAGAAAAAAAAUACAUAAACAGACAUACUUGGUGAUCUCUGUGGCAGUUGGCCUCAGCACAAGCGUAUUGCAUCAGUGGGAAUCAUGUUUCACCUCUUAAUUUGUUUGUAAAUAAAAGAGGCGAGUCCCAGCACCGUCCGUCCUCCUCCUCCUUCUCCUGAGGCUUUUGAUAAGGCUGUCUUGAUGGGCUGCCAUGUUGGGAGCUCAGCCAGUGUCUUGGGUUACACAUUAUUUUCCCCGCUCGUGCCAAAAAGCCGGGGCGAACGCAUGUGCCGCGAGUCUCCGAGAAGACAUGGGAAACGGCAGCGGCUCUUAUGUAAAAACGCUGUGUUUCCUGGCAUUUCAUGCAGGCCUACGUCUCCGAGUGGCUCUUGAGAAAACGUUAAGGACGCGAAACGCUUAAGGGCUUCACUUGAACUUAAUGCGCCUUUUUUUUUCUCCCCCCCUCGCUUUUCUUUUCACUUUUUUUUUCUUUCUCUUGGUAAACGGAGGAAUCAAUGUCAAAUCCCCCCGAAGCUCACGGACGGAGAGCACAUUCCCUCCUGGUUACGUUACGAGCCUCUCUGGUAGUGCCUGAUCUAAAUCAGGACCCGGAGAUGUAACAGUAGAUCUGUCAUUAGCUGUUUAGUGAGUGAGAGCACCAGAGAUGAGGGGAGGGCCGGGAGUGGACUCUGUCCCAUUUUACCCUAUGACCUCACUCAGUCCAGGCCACUAACACCCCAACUCCACCUCUCCACCCCCCACACCCCCCUUCCACUCUUUUUCCCAGUACAAGUCCUAGCUGUCCUGUCCAGGAGGCAUGUUGCACAGUUUAAGUUGUCUUGAAGCCUAGCUGCAGGAGCGGAGGCAAUGGCUGUCUAUCUUUCAGAGACGGUGCUGGUGGUUGGUUGGUUGGGGGGGGGUGCGCGACCUUGGAUCAACAAACACCGCGAUCAAAAAACGCAAUUAACCCACCGCGGCAAGGCAAAUGGGGCGGCCAGCAGAAACAAACAACGGCCCUGGCGUCACCCGCGAGCGUUUAUUUUCCCAGAUUGCCACCUCUGCCGCCAAGGCCAUAGGUACUUGUCAGCUUCUGUAAG